Molecule: small nuclear RNA, 153 nt
Filed under: Peromyscus maniculatus bairdii (prairie deer mouse)
Lineage: Eukaryota; Metazoa; Chordata; Mammalia; Rodentia; Cricetidae
Description: U1 spliceosomal RNA (ENSPEMG00000001200.2)
Rfam family: U1 spliceosomal RNA
About the family: U1 is a small nuclear RNA (snRNA) component of the spliceosome (involved in pre-mRNA splicing).
Source: RNAcentral
ACGUUUACUCGGUAGGAGAGAUGCCAGGACCAAGACAUUAGCUUUCCCAGGGUUAGGUCCAUGCUGCUGCACUUUUGCUGAUCCCCAAUGUGACUUCUCCAAAUGUGGGGGAUUCAACUGCAUAAUUUAUAGUAAUGGAGGACAUUGUCUGUA